Molecule: ribosomal RNA, 679 nt
Filed under: uncultured spirochete
Lineage: Bacteria; Pseudomonadati; Spirochaetota; Spirochaetia; Spirochaetales
Description: bacterial SSU rRNA
Rfam family: Bacterial small subunit ribosomal RNA
Source: RNAcentral
GCCCUUAGAGUUUGAUCCUGGCUCAGAACGAACGCUGGCGGCGCGUUUUAAGCAUGCAAGUCGAACGGUAAGCAGUCUUCGGACUGCCUAGAGUGGCGAACGGAUGAGUAACACGUAGGUGAUCUACCCGGAGGUUGGGGAUAGCCUGUGGAAACAUGGGGUAAUACCGAAUAGGUUCAUUUGGCUGUGACCGAAUGAGCAAAGGGGCUUCGGCCUCGCCUCCGGAUGAGCCUGCGCCCUAUUAGUUAGUUGAUGGGGUAAAGGCCUACCAAGGCGACGAUAGAUAGCCGGCCUAAGAGGGUGGACGGCCACACUGGGACUGAGAUACGGCCCAGACUCCUACGGAAGGCAGCAGCUAAGAAUCUUCCGCAAUGGACGAAAGUCUGACGGAGCGACGCCGCGUGGGUGAAGAAGGCCGGAAGGUUGUAAAGCCCUUUUCUACGUGAGGAAUAACCGCAGGAGGGAAUGCCUGUGGGAUGACGGUAGCGUAGGAAUAAGCCCCGGCCAAUUACGUGCCAGCAGCCGCGGUAACACAUAUGGGGCGAGCGUUGUUCGGAAUUAUUGGGCGUAAAGGGCGCGUAGGCGGCCAUGCAAGUCUGGUGUGAAAGACCGCAGCUUAACUGCGGGAGCGCGCCGGAAACUGCAUGGCUUGAGUUCUGGAGGGGGAGUUGGAAUUCCA